AAGGCAGCAGUGGGGAAUAUUGCACAAUGGGCGCAAGCCUGAUGCAGCCAUGCCGCGUGUAUGAAGAAGGCCUUCGGGUUGUAAAGUACUUUCAGUCGUGAGGAAGGUGUUAAGGUUAAUAACCUUAGCAAUUGACGUUAGCGACAGAAGAAGCACCGGCUAACUCCGUGCCAGCAGCCGCGGUAAUACGGAGGGUGCGAGCGUUAAUCGGAAUUACUGGGCGUAAAGGGCACGCAGGCGGUUAAUUAAGUUGGAUGUGAAAUCCCCGGGCUUAACCUGGGAAUGGCAUUCAAGACUGGUUAGCUAGAGUCUUGUAGAGGGGGUAGAAUUCCAUGUGUAGCGGUGAAAUGCGUAGAGAUGUGGAGGAAUACCGGUGGCGAAGGCGGCCCCUGGGACAAGACUGACGCUCAUGUGCGAAAGCGUGGGGAGCAAACAGGGAUUAGAUACC
Molecule: ribosomal RNA, 448 nt
Filed under: uncultured bacterium
Lineage: Bacteria
Description: bacterial SSU rRNA
Rfam family: Bacterial small subunit ribosomal RNA
Source: RNAcentral